GGCCGAGACUGGCAGCAGACAGGGAUUAGGGUAGGGAUGUGACAAGGUGAGGAAGGGAGAGGGCAGAGAUGCUCACCUUGGAGAUAGCCAGAGGGACAGGGAACCUGGGGACAGGGGAUGGUGCCAGCUGUGGCCCUGGCUUCUGGGGCCUCCAGGAAGGGAAGAAGGAACCGGGGCAGAGCCCACAGCCAGGAGCUCACCUUCUCCAGGUUGGUGUUGUCUAGCCAGAGGGUCUCCAGGUUGCUUAUGGAACCACAGAGAACAGUCCCGUGACAUUUGCCCACUUCCCUGAGGACACUGUGGAGCAGAAGGCAGAAAGCGUGGGCAGAAUUAUGCCUCACACGGAGAGAUGUCGCCACAAUGAACGAGCAGGGCUUCUGCAAGAUCGUGGGCCGCUCUAAGGAUAUGAUCAUCCGGGGUGGUGAGAACAUCUACCCCGCAGAGCUCGAGGACUUCUUUCACACACACCCGAAGGUGCAGGAAGUGCAGGUGGUGGG
This 497-nucleotide small RNA is filed under the name Pongo abelii (Sumatran orangutan). Its description in RNAcentral is "processed transcript". The record is from RNAcentral. Lineage: Eukaryota; Metazoa; Chordata; Mammalia; Primates; Hominidae.